Molecule: ribosomal RNA, 445 nt
Filed under: uncultured Anoxybacillus sp.
Lineage: Bacteria; Bacillati; Bacillota; Bacilli; Caryophanales; Anoxybacillaceae
Description: bacterial SSU rRNA
Rfam family: Bacterial small subunit ribosomal RNA
Source: RNAcentral
UGUGGUUUAAUUCGAAGCAACGCGAAGAACCUUACCAGGUCUUGACAUCCCCUGGCAACCCGAGAGAUCGGGCGUUCCCCGUUCGGGGGGACAGGGUGACAGGUGGUGCAUGGUUGUCGUCAGCUCGUGUCGUGAGGUGUUGGGUUAAGUCCCGCAACGAGCGCAACCCUCGACCUUAGUUGCCAGCAUUCAGUUGGGCACUCUAAGGUGACUGCCGGCUAAAAGUCGGAGGAAGGUGGGGAUGACGUCAAAUCAUCAUGCCCCUUAUGACCUGGGCUACACACGUGCUACAAUGGGCGGUACAAAGGGUCGCGAACCCGCGAGGGGGAGCCAAUCCCAAAAAGCCGCUCUCAGUUCGGAUUGCAGGCUGCAACUCGCCUGCAUGAAGCCGGAAUCGCUAGUAAUCGCGGAUCAGCAUGCCGCGGUGAAUACGUUCCCGGGCCUU